Non-coding RNA from Megalopta genalis, 2614 nucleotides. NCBI's taxonomy places the organism in Eukaryota, Metazoa, Arthropoda, Insecta, Hymenoptera, Halictidae. The record is from RefSeq and is a predicted model, not a curated record.
UGUAACGCUCUGACACGCGGAUGCACGUGGUUACGUUCGAUUAGUCGAGUGUCGCACGAAACGGGUCGGAGAUCAUGUUUCAGAAGGGUCGACUUCUCGAGGCUCGAGACAAAGGCCAGAAUUGAACUGUCCAGGAUUAUCUUGAACAUAGAAGCAGCAACAAGUGUUCCAAGCAAUUUUUCAACGGGUUUCCCGGCCGAUCGAAAUUCCCGCGGAAACGUCGACGAACGCGCGGCUUAUCCGCGAACCCUCCUGCUUAACCGGAUAUUUUCGUCGAUGUUAGUCGAAUUCCGUCCGACCGCGUUCGAUUUCGCCUGUGGUCAAGGUUAUCAUCGCUGAAAUUUUUCAUAGCGAAUAUCAAGCAUUUCAAGCGAAGCAACGAAACCAUCCUACUUCCAGUGCUCUCGCAACACCGAAAUAUUUCGAUAACAUUUGACUUAUUUUGUAACCUAUUAAGCAACGAAUCGUCGAAAUCCGUUUAUUGGUUUAUCGCGGCGGUUCGAUUGCCGAUAAGCCUGUUAUGUGACUCUCGACCUCGGCGCAGCAAGGGCUGCAGCGAAGAACCAGAGACUCGCGGAUUCCAACGAGUAACGCGGUUCCUCUGUUUUCACCAUUUAGAAUAAUUCAUGCGUAUCUGCAAUCAUCCCCCUCCCCGUCUAUCGGAUGCGGCGCGCCGUUCCCCGGGUCUAUUAUGUGGAGCUGCGAUGAUGUUAAUCGCAGCUGCUAUUGAGAAGAAGCUUUUUUCGCAUCGAAUUCAAUGCGACACGAUCGUGCCCGGACAAUAGGAACCGUGUGUAUAUAUGUACUUACUAUUGACUCGGGCGAGCAAUAGAACGUUAAUUUCCUCGUUACUAACAGUCCUGCGUGAUAUGGCAUCGAGCAUUUGGCCGUUUAUCCGCAGCGUGAACGGUGUCAAGUAUGUUUCCCUUGCGACUUAACGAUUCACCGCGGUCCGGUCCUCCGGGUGUAUACUGUGAACCGUCACUGUGCACGCGCGAACACGGGAACACCGGGAACUCGGCCCGAACACGUGGUCGGUUUGACAGCUAUUCCCGAUCUCACGUGAGAGCGAGCGCGUUCGUGGCCGCUCGGCAGACUGUGAGAAAUCCCCGGGAGGUAUUUAUCGAUCGGCGUUCUACGCGCGGACAGAAGAAUAUUCGCGCGCGACGAUUGACCGGGCGAAUGCGCUCUGCGCGCGCGAUCGCUCGUCGCGUUCGUCACUGAUUCACACUCUCGUGUCGUUCACGAGCGUGCACGACGGGAACGCGGAGUGAGAAAGUCUGUGGCACCGUGUGUAUGUACCCAGCAGUGAUUCAAGACUUCCUCUCCUCAACUAGACGCGACAUUAUUGAAUCGAGCCCAAUGCGCUGCGACCGAGACGCAGUCCAGCACGUGGGUCGAUCAGCUGAGCGGACCACCACGCUCGGCCUCGCAGCUUUUUAAAUGCCAUUCUAAUCGCUGCCACUUCCGACGACGUCUUCGAUGAUACAAUUUUUCGUUUUUCGUAUUAUUUAUUAUUUAUUAUUAUUAAUUUUAUUAUUAUUAUUUUUUUAUUUUAUUUUAUUUUUUAUUAUUUUAUUAUAUUUAUUAUAUAUUAUUUUUCGCGUAUUAACGCAUACACAGACACCACUGUUUUCAACGCAAACAGCCGAUCAGAAGUUAUAAAGCUAUGCAUACACAUGCAUGCGGCAUCAUAUGUGUAGAAUGUGUGUACAGAAAAUCCAAGAGUUCGGUGAAGCAAAUGUUCGCUCUAACAUCACGCGCAAUAAAAGAUGAUCGAUCGAAAUCGCUGAUCGAUGCUUGAAAUAUUGUCAAUACGUAUGAUAAUAAUGUGGAAUGAAAACAUAUUAUUCAAUUAAUUAAAAUAAUCGGUAUCAACGUCUCGAUGGAAGUUUUAAAUACAUUCUGUGAAAUUAUGAUGCUAAAAAUAUGUAUAUUUCACGUUUAAUCUAUCGAAUUUGUUUCCUGAAAGAUAAACAUUUUGGCAUAUUCGUUAACAUCGAACAUUAAAACAGUUUGACACGUUUGGAAUCAUUGUGUGUCACUUUCUCGAAAUUCCAGAUUGUACAUCAUACUGACAUAGAUUAUACGUCUCGUUUACUAUGACGUCACGUAGAUGAUUUCAUCUUUGCUUCAGGGAAAUGAUCCGAAGCCAUGUCUAUACGACAUGGAUACGUUCUAAGAGUUGCACAUCCGGCAUCGAUUCAAUAGCCAAUUGGAAGCCGAUGCAGUGGUGCCUCAACUCCUGCGCGGUUUUCUUCCUCUCUAAGGUAGCGCUUCUAUCCCCGCCAUUGCCCAUCCAAUCUGCAGCGAAUCGUGUCUCAGCAUUGCAUCGUCAGUCGAUCAGAGCGAAGCAAUUUCUACUCCUAUUCUCAUUAAUGUAGCACGCUGCGGUUGGACAGUCUUGCAGAAACUUAGGCAUCAUUGCAUUUGAUACCUUUCGAUACUGUAUAUAUUUCGGGAGUUAUCAUUUAUUGCUUAGAGUAAUUACAGUACAUUAGAAUGGCAGUACCUAACUGGAUUCCUAGGAUUAUUCGAUUUUCGUGAAGACACUAAAAAUGGAGAACUCCAAUGUGUACAUUAAAUAAAUAUCUUAUCUGGUUUUACUGUGUCA